RNAcentral lists this ribosomal RNA (500 nucleotides) under uncultured bacterium. Its description in RNAcentral is "partial 16S ribosomal RNA". It matches the Rfam family "Bacterial small subunit ribosomal RNA", at positions 30 to 523 of the family's 1533-position model. The record is from RNAcentral.
AUUGAACGCUGGCGGAAUGCUUUACACAUGCAAGUCGAACGGCAGCACGGACUUCGGUCUGGUGGCGAGUGGCGAACGGGUGAGUAAUACAUCGGAACGUGCCCAGUCGUGGGGGAUAACAUAGCGAAAGCUACGCUAAUACCGCAUACGAUCUAAGGAUGAAAGCGGGGGAUCGCAAGACCUCGCGCGAUUGGAGCGGCCGAUGGCAGAUUAGGUAGUUGGUAGGGUAAAGGCCUACCAAGCCGACGAUCUGUAGCUGGUCUGAGAGGAUGACCGGCCACACUGGGACUGCGACACGGCCCAGACUCCUACGGGAGGCAGCAGCGGGGAAUUUUGGACAAUGGGCGCAAGCCUGAUCCAGCCAUGCCGCGUGCAGGAUGAAGGCCUUCGGGUUGUAAACUGCUUUUGUACAGAACGAAAAGGCUCUGGUUAAUACCCGGGGCUCAUGACGGUACUGUAAGAAUAAGCACCGGCUAACUCCGUGCCAGCAGCCGCCGUAA